GGGGGUGUAGCUCAGAGGUAGAGCGCUCGCUUUGCAUGCGAGAAGUCCCGGGUUCGAUCCCCGGCUCCUCCA
This 72-nucleotide transfer RNA is filed under the name Haemaphysalis longicornis (longhorned tick). It matches the Rfam family "tRNA". From Rfam's summary of the family: Transfer RNA (tRNA) molecules are approximately 80 nucleotides in length. Their secondary structure includes four short double-helical elements and three loops (D, anti-codon, and T loops). Lineage: Eukaryota; Metazoa; Arthropoda; Arachnida; Ixodida; Ixodidae. The record is from Rfam by way of RNAcentral.